UCCUACGGGUGGCUGCAGUGGGGAAUUUUGGACAAUGGGCGCAAGCCUGAUCCAGCCAUUCCGCGUGCAGGAUGAAGGCCUUCGGGUUGUAAACUGCUUUUGUACGGAACGAAACGGUUCUCUCUAAUACAGGGGGCUAAUGACGGUACCGUAAGAAUAAGCACCGGCUAACUACGUGCCAGCAGCCGCGGUAAUACGUAGGGUGCAAGCGUUAAUCGGAAUUACUGGGCGUAAAGCGUGCGCAGGCGGUUUUGUAAGACAGAGGUGAAAUCCCCGGGCUCAACCUGGGAACUGCCUUUGUGACUGCAAGGCUGGAGUACGGCAGAGGGGGAUGGAAUUCCGCGUGUAGCAGUGAAAUGCGUAGAUAUGCGGAGGAACACCGAUGGCGAUGGCAAUCCCCUGGGCCUGUACUGACGCUCAUGCACGAAAGCGUGGGGAGCAAACAGGAUUAGAUACCCUGGUAGUCC
This 467-nucleotide ribosomal RNA is filed under the name uncultured Comamonadaceae bacterium. RNAcentral's name for it is "bacterial SSU rRNA". It matches the Rfam family "Bacterial small subunit ribosomal RNA", at positions 337 to 796 of the family's 1533-position model. Lineage: Bacteria; Pseudomonadati; Pseudomonadota; Betaproteobacteria; Burkholderiales; Comamonadaceae. The record is from RNAcentral.